Sinocyclocheilus rhinocerous is the source of this 285-nucleotide long non-coding RNA. RefSeq lists it as uncharacterized. The transcript has 3 exons. The record is from RefSeq and is a predicted model, not a curated record. Lineage: Eukaryota; Metazoa; Chordata; Actinopteri; Cypriniformes; Cyprinidae.
AGACAGCUGUAUGCUGUUGAGAAGAGAGAGCAUGAUGUCAUUGCUAAAAUAUCUCGUUACGCCUCGUUGGAACUACGUGAUCUGAAAAGUCUGUGCCCACCCGAUCUCUUGAAAGACACCAGUAGCCAACUGAUGCCAUGGCUAUAUGACAAUACAGUAAAUUGUCGGAUUGCACAAAUUGCCUCAGAAAACCAGAAUGUUGCAGCCUUGACAACUGACACAUUUAUUUUGUGGUACAGGGACUGGCUGGCUUCAAGAAAUAUUUCUGAUUCACAUCUGAAAAUU